RNAcentral lists this long non-coding RNA (1473 nucleotides) under Equus caballus (horse). RNAcentral's name for it is "lncRNA (ENSECAG00000058922.1)". Lineage: Eukaryota; Metazoa; Chordata; Mammalia; Perissodactyla; Equidae. The record is from RNAcentral.
CCCAGCUGCCGUUGCCCGCCCCGUGGGACUAGGGAUUGCCGGAGAUCUCGGAGAGGACCGGGGCGGGGGAACUUUCAAAGGCCGGAUCGGCGACCCGGAGGGGAAGUGCCGGAGCUCCCCCAGGCAGCAGACAAAACUCUCUGUCUGCCGGUAGCAGAGGGGCCACGCUGAGCACUCAGGGCUCCCGGCAGAGGCCCGGAGAGAAGCCCAGAGGGCGGGGCGACCCCCAGCUGCUGUUGCCCGCCCCGUGGGACUAGGGAUUGCCGGAGAUCUCGGAGAGGACCGGGGCGGGGGAACUUUCAAAGGCGGGUCCGGCGAUCCGGUGGAGAAGCGCCGGAGCUCCGCCCGGGCAGCAGACAAAACUCUCUGUCUGCCGGUAGCAGAGGGGCCACGCUGAGCAUUCAGAGCUCCCGGCAGAGGCCCGGAGAGAAGCCCAGAGGGCGGGGCGACCCCCAGCUGCCGUUGCCCACCCGGUGAGGCUAGGGAUUGCCGGAGAUCUCGGAGAGGACUGGGGCUGGAGAGAGUUCCAGAGACCCAGCUUAGUAGCCUAGGGGGAAACCCUACAGGCUCACAGAAGCCUUAGGGAAAGCCUCUGCACAGCACCAGUAGAAGGCACCCAGCCGCCAGCCACAAGGCUGGAAGACCCCAGGGCAAAAGCAGCAUAGCUAGGUGUACUAACCACAGACUGUAGAAGAUGCCAAUAGCUCUCCUGCGACCCAUAGAGGACAAGUGAGAUUUGGUGGGUGCCGACAGCAACCGAGCGACAAAUAAAAGUGAUCCCACCCCUGGCUGCUGGAAAAGCCCAUAACACCGUUGCAGACCCCAAGGAGAGAGCGCAUCUAGGUGGGCAACAACAGUAGGCACCUGCAGUCUGAAGCCCCCCGUGACGGCCCCCACGGCAGAGGAGGGAAUCCAAAGGGCCACUGUGGCUACGAAGAGGGGCCCAGGCCCAGUUAGCAACUACGGACAGGGUUCCUGGUUGGUGAAGUAUAAACAGCUGCUCCCCCCACCGCAGCAGCUGAAACAAGUGAAAGGAGCAACUAAACUCUAUCUCCAUGCGGAGGCACAAAUCAACAUCAUCAAGCAAUAUGAAAAAAUACAUUAAAUCUCCAGAACAGAAAGAAAGUAACAAAUACACAGAAAACAAUCCCAAAGAAAAUGAGAUAUAUAACCUAAAUGAUGAUGACUUCAAAACAGCCAUCAUUAAAAUACUCACUGAGUUAAGAGAGAAUUCUGACCGACAACUCAACGAGUUCAGGAGCUAUGUCACAAAAGAGUUUGAUACGAUAAAGAAGAACCAAACAGAAAUACUGGAAAUGAAGAACACAAUAGAGGAGAUUAAGAAAAAUCUAGAUGCUCUGAACAGUAGGGCCGAUAAUAUGGAGGAAAGAAUUAGCAAUUUGGAAGAUGGCAAUAUAGAAUUGUUGCAGGCAGAGGAGGAGAGAGAAGCAAGACUUAAAAGAAAUGAAGAAA